CAGAGAACAGCAUGGAGUCAAAAAGAAGCAGAGAACUCAUUGACUUGAAAGUGCAUAAAGUGAACUGAAAGAUUAGUACUUUGCUAGCUUGGCGCCUAGAGGGGUGUGAAAGCUGUUGAUCAGAUGAGCUGUUGCAGUACCACUUGGGUAUGUUAGUUUGAAGUCUAUUACCAUUAUCUGCAAACACACAGAAAUUGGCAAUGGGAACAACUGAGAAGAGGCCAAGAAAGCUGACAACAAAGAGGAAACCGAUAAUCCAACCCAAAGAAGGGUUCUUGACUCCACGGUAACCAUCUCCUGAUUGGUUUGCAAUUCGUUCACUCAUGCCAAAGAGAAUGUCACAAAUCACACACGCAAGCAAAACUAUGGCAAGAUGCAAUUCAAAACAGAUUUCUAAUUGAGUUAUCUGAUUCAAUGUGAAGAUGAGUUUUCUUUACCGCUGAAGGCAAUGCCAGAAGAAGCAACAACACAGGUCUGAAUAACAGUAUUCUCCUGACGAGUAAAUGGCUGUUUCAAGAGACCAGACCUAU
Long non-coding RNA from Capsella rubella, 530 nucleotides. RefSeq lists it as uncharacterized. The record is from RefSeq and is a predicted model, not a curated record. NCBI's taxonomy places the organism in Eukaryota, Viridiplantae, Streptophyta, Magnoliopsida, Brassicales, Brassicaceae. The transcript is spliced from 3 exons.